Molecule: regulatory RNA element, 147 nt
Rfam family: ylbH leader
About the family: This family is a putative regulatory RNA structure that is found upstream of the ylbH gene in B. subtilis and related low GC Gram-positive bacteria.
Source: Rfam
UAAAAAAAAGCCCUGUAACUACGCAUCACAGGGUCCUUCAAUUAAGCUCAUGCAAUCUCAGUAUAGACUGCAUUGUUGCUUACGAAGGCAAAGGGAGAGGAGAAACCGGAGGAAGAACUUAUGGGGAAACGUAAGCCUUCUCCGCGG